GAAUUAAGAUAAUCAAAGUAAAGCUUCUAACUUAAACUUUUAAUAGUGUAAUUCUAUUAGUAAUUCU
Molecule: transfer RNA, 67 nt
Filed under: Agathidium nigripenne
Lineage: Eukaryota; Metazoa; Arthropoda; Insecta; Coleoptera; Leiodidae
Description: tRNA-Ser
Source: RNAcentral